RNAcentral lists this long non-coding RNA (11377 nucleotides) under Capsicum annuum. Its description in RNAcentral is "long non-coding RNA (CANN_LNC018018)". Lineage: Eukaryota; Viridiplantae; Streptophyta; Magnoliopsida; Solanales; Solanaceae. The record is from RNAcentral.
UCUCUUUUCCUAUUAAUAUACAUAACAUAGGCGACAUAUACGUAACAUUCUGUGUAUAUGUGAGAUUUUUGUAAUAUGUUUAGGGAGUUGAAAUUUUUUGUAAUAUUGAAAAGAUAAGUUGUGUAUUUAUGUAAUUUUUAAUAAAAAUAUUACAAAAAUCAUAAUCAACAAAAGGCCCAAACCCGAUCCAAUAUCCUGAUUUGGGACUAUAAAAAAGUACCCUAAAUUAGGGUUUUCUAAUUGCUCCUCUUGUUCUUUAUCCAUCCGUCUUUUCCGCCGUCGAGGAUGUCUGUGUUGGUCUUUUGCAACCGUCAUCUCCGAGGAGAUCGAGUUGCUGUGAAGGGAAGCUCCAUCUGCCCUUCAUUUUUGUGAAGUUUUUGAUAGCUAGAGAGUCUAGCUUGUGUUAGCACAGUAGAGUAGUUGAUGUUGUUCAAACACUUCUUGUACCCCUGGGUAUAUCCCGUGGGCUUGUAAUAUUUAGGACCCCCUGCUCUUCCUUGCUUACUUUGUGACUGCUUUAUGCUCUCAUGCUUGUUAAUAUUAUGCAUGUGAAUUGAUCUUCCUUGUUCUGAUUCUCAAAUUAGGGAUUUGUGUUUUGUCUAUGUUUACAAACUUUCUUAUUUUUGCUGGUAGCUCUUAGAAACUAUGAUAGUCUCUAACAAUUUCUGCAUCAAUCACUUCAUCAGCUGAAGCGUCUGCAACUGUAUUUCCUUCUCUGAAUGUAUGUUGUAGUUGUGCUUGAAUCGUAGUAACCCUCUCUCUUAUGUCUUCAGUUUAUUCCACUAGUUCCCAAGGUACUUUACACUGUUUAUUUAUCAUUCUCAUCAAUACUAGGGAAUCAAUUUCAAUUAUUACCUUCCCGAUUGCCUUCUCUUGUAUGUAAUGUAAGAUUCUUUAAUUGCCUGAGUAUUAGUUGUGACUCCCAAUCCUUUAGCCUUUACAUAAAUCAGAUCUCCUUUAUCAUCCCUAACACAAAAGGCACAAGCACUUAUUCUUGGGUUGCCUUUACUUGCUCUAUCAGUGUUACAUUUAAGAGUAUUCUUCUCAGGAAGCCUCAAAACUACAUUAUAAUAAUUUAACUUUGGCUUGUAAUUUCACAAAAUGUGCACCACUUGUGGCCAAUUCUCCUUCCCAAUAUUAAUCCAUGGGUACAUCUUCUUUACUUGCUUUCUUUUCAUUUCCUGACUCUGCCACACCAAUUCUCCAUAUUUGAUAUCUCCACCAUGUUUAAUUGCAUUCCUUCUCCUCCACAUAUUCCACAUAAUGAUUGUUGGAAUUACUUUAAAUAUGACUUCAGUUUUGGUGAUGCUUUCAUUGUCUACCAAGCCAUGAUAAUCUCCUAUAAAUUCAUGUGUUCUAUGUCAAUACCUGAAAAAAUAGCAAACUCCCUCCAUAAAUUUGCAGCUAUGGGGGGCUGUUAGAAAUAAAUAGUUCAUAAUCUCUUCCUUCUUUACAUCACAACACCAACAUCUGGAUACAACAUUUAUCCACAUUAUUUUUAGAUUGUCAUCAGUUGCAAUCCUCCUUCUCCAAGCCCUCCAUAAAAAAAAAUUAAUUUUGAAAGGCAACCCUUUCGCCCAUAUCAUCUUGUAUUCCUCUCUUUUCUCCUUUUUCUGCCUCAAUAGUUCCCAUGCUGACUUGACUGUGAAAUUGCCCUGAGUAUUACCCAUCCACCAUGGUACACCAUCUUUUUUCACACCUUUGUGGCUGUAUAUUCUCAAUAAUAUAAUUAGCCAUCUCUUCUAAUAGUACACUUUAUAAUUUCAUGUCAUCCCAUUCUAUAUUAAUACAGAAAUCCUUUACCUCUAAUUCCUCCUCUUUCUAAUACCUCAUACUUUUCUUAGUUCAGUUCAGUUCCUAGUGCAUGCAUAAAGCCUAAAAAUUUAAUCAAGUAUUGGAAACUUAGUCAUUUUUUGGGGCCUUUUAACUCGAGAAUUUUUAAAGGGGCCUUUCCGACCUAGAGACGUUGGUUUUUGAGUUAAUUCAUGUUUAGGGAUGUAAGGCGCAUGUCUCGAGGAAGUUUUGGAUUUUUCGGAUGAGGAUUGGGUCUUGGUUGGAUUUCGAUUCCAGAACCUCACUGCAAUAGUGGCGCGUCGCGGUGGUAAUAGCGAUGAGCCCUUCACGCAUCGCGGUGUCCCAUUAAUCAGCAUUCCAAUUAUGAAUUUAAAUGUUUGAGGGGCAGUUAAGUCUUUUCCCAUUGGCUCAAUUCUUAAAAACAUGAAUUUAAGCUUCAAUGAGGGCAUUAUUCACCAAUUUCCUCUAAAAAACAAACCCUAAUCAUUCCCCCAAGUUUAGAAAUUCCAUUCCUUUCUCUCCAAGAAAAUCAAGAACUCAAGUUUUCCAAUUCAAGAACUUUCAAGAAAGCUUUCAAGAUUGUGUUUCCCUUUCAAGCUUAAGGGCUUCGGGUAUGUGGGAGGUUUAUCCAUGAGCCUUUUUCACCCAUGGAGUCCAAAAAUCUAUUUUUUAUGUUUCAAAUUAUGAAUUUACAUGUUUAUGAUGAAUUAUCUCCUUGAAGCUUUCGUGAAUUAUGGUUAUAAACUGUUUUUAAAAGUGUUUUUCAUUGGAAUGGACCCUUACACGUUUGAAUGAUGAUAUUUUCAUGUUAAAUCCCUAAUUCAUGAUUUUAGUAUUGUAACUAUGUUUUAAUUACACGUUUUAUCCAUUCUCAUGCUUAAGUUCAUGACUCUUACGUGUUUGGUGAAAUGCCUAAGUGUUGAAUUUUGAACAAUGAUGCCCUACUAUGGUUUUAAAGCUUUUAUAUGUCCAUAUUGCUAUUUUCAUUCAGUGGUGGAGGGUUAUGAAUACCCGCUACUUAGCUAUUUACCUAGUUUUAGUAUCUUCAGAAUGCUUUCAGACAGACCAUGAGCAUUAUCAUUCAAUUAGUUAUCAUAAUCAAUUGUUUGUUCAGUUAAACUUAGUCAGUCCAGUAAUCAGUGUCAGUUUAAUUGGGAGUAAGAUUUAGCAUCGAGCGAGGCCAGGGAUGGAGGCUCACCUACCAGUAGAGGGUGUGACCUUUAGUAGCAGCCCCUGAGUUCUGGAACUACGUAGCCAGCGUAGGUUAGAGAUAUCAACCUGCCAGUUAAGAACCAUAAGGUAUUUUCUUGCCAGUUGAAGGUAAUACAUAUCUCAUUAGAGCACUUGCCAAUUGAGGGUGACUCAUUAGUCCUUCGGGAUAUUAGUUUAGUGGAUCCACACAACUAUUGUUAGUACCCGUGGCACGGUACUGAUACUCUUCCAAUUGGGGUCACAGGUUGGACCCCGAUUAGCUCAGAUUGGGUCAUAUCGGUUAGAUGAUACCUCACACAGUCUCAGUUCAGUAUUCAGUACAGAAUUAAAUUUCAGGUUUGCUUGACCAUAGUAUACUAUUAUCAGUUAUUCAGUUAACUGAUUUCAAUAUUUCAGUUUACAAACUAUUUUAGAAGCAUAUUAUAUGCUUGGUCAUGCAUUCUCAAACUUUACAUCUUUCACGCAUUUAUAUUCAGUUAUCUCAUGCUAUUCAGUCAGUCUUUACUUCAUGCACAGAAAUCCAUGCAUUUUAGCCUAACCUCAUCUCAUAUACCAGUACAUUUAAAGUAUUGAUCACAUACUCUUCUUUGUGCUAUGAUGUUUAAUAUCAUAGGUUCGUACACGUAGUUUUCCGAUCGCGCUUAGAUAGUUCAUCUAGUCAGGAGCAACAACAGUGGUAAAUUCGCAUUAAACAAGGACCUGUUAUGUUGAAGUUAGUUGGGGUCUGUCCCAUCUACUCUUUUCAGUCACUUUAGAGGCUUUCAGAUAUUUUAGACAGUUAGUCAGUUUAUCAGUUGUUUUAUCAGUCCUUUUAGUAUGUCUUUAGACGUUUAAACUUAUGAUUUGAAUCAUGUUUUUAGUAUUUAAAAUUAGAUGGCUUUUAUCUGUUAGUUUCGUACAUGAGUAUUUUGUUACUGUAUUUAGUGCUCACAGUAGGUACCAGCCCAUGAGUUAGCUUGUGGUCACUUGUGGUUGUAAGCACCAUUGUCGCAACUAGGGGGUAGCCUCGGGUCAUGAAAAAAUUUGGUAUCAAAGCCUAAGGUUGUAUAGUGUCCUAGGGAGUCUGAAAGCUGCAUUAGGUAGAGUUUUGUGCAUGUGUGUGAAGCGCACCAUACUUAUAGACACGAGGCUACAAAAUGUUUUAGGAAAAGUUUCUCUUCUUUUAGUAUUCAUGUCAUGCGAAUGAGCAUGAGCUCUAUCUAAACGCUCUUUCUAAUCUAUACUUUAUUCUGUUACAGACCAUGCCUCCCAGAAGGAAUAACGGAAGGAGGAAUAAGAAUCAGCUCACACCUUUGCUUAUUCAGGAAGAUCCCUUGAAUGUGUAUGUCUAUCACACCGAAUUUAGAGCUGCUUUUACUACCUUAGAUUAUUCAUUAGUUGCUCAGAACAAUCAGCAGGUUGUUGUCCUAUCUAGGGUUAUGGUUCAUGCUCAUUAGAGUGAGAGAGAGAAUCAUAGGAAGAAAGAGAGGGAGAAUAAGAGGAUCAAAAUAAGUAGUUUUAAGCCAAGGUCAGAUGGUGGUAACCGCUCCCAGUUCCAUCAGAACUUCACAGCCCCAGGUCCUUCUACAACUAGUGUGCCAGUGCCAAAAUUUAGAAAUAACAGUCGGGAUAGAGGGUCAGGCUCUAAGUUGUAGAGCAACAUAAACAGUUGUUUUACCAAUCUACUUUAUCGGAGAUGUGGUAAAAAUCAUCAGGGUGUAUGUAGGGCUGGUAGUGGUGUUUUUUUGGGUGUGGCAGGACAGGCCACAGGGUCAGAGAGUGUCCAGUAGUAGCUCAGAAGGGAAAAGAUUUGCGCUAAUAAGGCCAGUCCAAUCAUCCUUCAGCUCCAGCAGGUCGCCCGACUCAGCAGGGUGCCACUUUCAGUGCCACCAGUGGUCAGCGCCAAAAUAGACUUUAUGCACUCUAAUCCCGACACGAUCAGAAAAGUUCUCCUGAUGUGAUUAUGGGUAUGUUACAGGUCUUUCAUCUUCGUGUUUAUGCUUUAUUAGAUCCCGAAGCUUCACUUUCUUUUGUAACCCCUUGUAUAGCUAUCAAUUUUGGUGUCAUUCCUGAAUUUCUAGUAGAGCCCUAUUCAGUAUCUAUUCAAGUAGGUAAACCUAGUAUAUCCAGACGGGUAUACAGAAAUUUCCCGAUUACGGUAUCCCAGAAACUCACUUUAGUUGAUCUUGUGGAGUUAGAGAUGACUGAUUUUGAUGUCAUUCUUGGCAUGAAUUAGCUCCAUUCAUGCUAUGCUUCAAUUGACUGUAGAAAUAAAGUCGUUUAGUUUUAGUUCCUCAAUGAGCCAAUCAUCGAAUAGAUGGGUAGUAUCCCAGUGCUUAGGAGUCAGAUAUGCUUUUAGAUCCCUUCUCAUAAUCCUAUGAUAGCAUAUGACCUAGAUUUAGAAGCAUGAACCUAGAAAUUUAGUAGCAGUAAAGUAGGAAUAGUGUUAUUUGAAUUUGGUGGAUUAUGUAUCCAUGAGGCUAGUUGUAUUGAAGGUGAGUUAGUAGGCUUGAAACAGUGUAUGCAAGAUUUAAGUUGUUGAUUCAAAAUUAAGUAUGAUGAUGUGUUAUUAUGUGCGAAUGAGGUUAUAUGGUAUAUGAUGUUCUUAUCAGUUAACUUAUGGGUUAUAAGUUGAUGAUGUUAGUUAUGUUGGUGUAAUGAUAUUUCUCAUAGUGUAAGGAAAAUAUAAGUUAAGAGUUGUGAUAUUAGUAGGUUGUGAAGGAAGUUAGUAUAGUUCAGUAAGGGUUUGGAGAUAUCCAUGUUAAUUGUUAAAAUCUAAUUUUGAAUCUUUGAAGAUUGAGCUAACAGAAAGAGAGUUGAAACUUUAGGUGUGUGAACUCAGGAUAUGGUGAUACUACUAAAAAUUCUAAGUUAGUAAGUGUUCAAGUUAUUAUACCAUGACUAUGGGGGCUGUAGAAAUUAAAGAAUUGUAUAUUAGAAGAAAGUACUAGCAGUGGGUCUUACAUUAUCAGGCAUAGUCUUUCAUAGUGAGUUUAGCAUUUAUGCGUAUUAUUAUAUCACCAACUUAGGAUGAUAGAUUGAAGCUAAGGGGGAGAUGAUAGAAUAAGUAACCAAGUUAGGCUCUCAGAUCCUAGUAGUGAUGCCAGUAUAUGUAGAAAAAUAGUAAGGGGGGAUGAUGCCCAACCCAUUCUUAUUUCAGUCUUUGUACUUCAGCUAUCGUGAUAUCUACUCAUACUUGAUAUGUUAGCUCUCUGAUCACGGCUCAUAUUUAUGCACUUUAUAGAAAAUCGUGUAUGUUUUUAGUUUUUAGUAUAAAGAGUUCCAAUUUACUCAGCAGCCCAAAUCAUAUUUCAUAAAUUUAUGAACUCUAAAUUUAGGUCAUGCGGCUCAUGACUCAUGUACUCAUGCUUUGCAGUAGUUCCAGUUCUAGGUACUCAUGAUACACUCUUGAUGAUCAUCGAAAUCCAUAUCAUGUCAUUUACGUCCUCAGUUUAGAUCUCUUUAAUAAAUUCAUGAUGCUAAUACUUUAUUCCUCGGGCCUUAGUUAAGUUUCCCAGUUAUGCAUAGUACUCUUUCAUGCUUCAGGUCCUCAUGUUCAAACCUUUCAAUAACCUUUCCUUAUGUCAAGAUAGUGAUGAUGAACAGUUGUUUAGAUGGUAGAGAAUAAAUGUUUCUUGUUGACGAAAGCUUGUUGUAUGCCUGUUUGAUCUAAGGUUAUAACUGUGAAUUAAGAUUGAGGCCAAGUUUUUGAUAUAUGUCAUGGUUAUUCGAAAUUUUGUGUGUGGUUCUCUUAAGAAUAAUGGAUGGAAGUUGUUAAUGAUAGAGGUUUGGAGGAUAUGAGAAAGAUGUUUUUAUGGAUAUUUAUUUAGAAGUUCAUGUGUGGUUAGGAAGAUAGGCUUGAAUGUCAUGUUGGUGUAUAAGUGGAUGACUGCAUUGCGUGUUAGUAUUCCUAGUAAAAGGUUGAAUAUAGUUGUUGAAGUGGUAAUCCGAAUUAUUCAUGAGAUGGGAAGUUGUGGAACGCAGGUUGUAUUGAAUUCAUGAUUCCGACUAGUAUUACAGUGUUAUGGGUGCACUUUGUAGAUUUGAGUAGGCUUGAAUAUAAUAAAAGAAUUUAGUUCAGCUCAGACUUACGUAGCUAGGGUUAUCAGUGCCCAUGUGAAUAUUUUUAAUUGCCUUAAGUGAAGUGCGAUAGUGAAGUGAUAUGUACAGUUGAGGGAGUAUUUGAGAAGUACAUCUAAGCUUGAAAGUAGCAGUUGCAUUGUUUAAGGGAUACCAAUCCUAUCCUAGCUUAUAUUUCGUAGGCGUAUGUUCUAUGUCAUAGAAUUUUAGCCGUGUUGGGAUUCCUUAUACAGAUUUCUAAUUCAGAUCAUGCUCAAAAUUCUUUGCUCUCUACUGUUAUUAGAAUUUCUUAGAAAAAAUUGUUGGAGAAAUUCUCUAGUUGAGUAUAAGCUUUUGGUAUGAGUUAAUCCAUAAAGCAACAAUUCAGUUUAGAAGUCAAACAUUUAAGUUUCUAUGGUUUUCCAUGUAUCCAUCUGGUCAUACUAUCCGAAGUCUCAUGAAUAUGGCUAUUCUAAGAGGUAAAAUGUUUGUAUUUUGGUAAUUUGUGAAUUCAGCUAAGUUCGCGCAUCACGCAUUAGUUUCAAAUUCCAGAUAUUCAGUCAUGAUUCAGGCUGUAAGUAUCCCGUGUAUCAUCUCAGUCCUUCCUUAGUAUUGCAACCAAGUCAAUUUCAUUCGGGGGACAAGAUAUCCCUAAGGGGAGAUGUACUAUAAUGCCCCGAGGUUUCAUGUCCUAAACCUCUCAACUUUUCUUCACGAAAUAAGAUCCAACUUGAAGUAAUGGGUACUCAUAAGUUAACUCUCUCAUUUCUAUCUCAGCUUUAUAACCAUUCUCAUAUCAUUGUAUACAUUCACGAAAUCAGUUCAGUCAUGUAUCAUGUAAUCAUAUUUUCAGUUAUGCAUGUUUAGUAGGUGAUCUCAGUUGCCAUAGUUCAGAAAUCUGAUCUUAAUUAGUCUCAUUCGAGGACGUAUGUUUCCAAAGGGGAGAUAUUUUAAUACCCCAUACUUUUUUUAGUUUAGUUCGGCUCCUAGUGCCUGCAUAAGAGGCUUGAAUCCUAAAAAUUUAACUAAGUGUUGGGGACUUAGUCAUUUUUUUAGGCCUUUUAACUUUGAGGAUAUUUAAAGUGGCCUUCCUGACCCCAAGACGUUGGUUUUCGAGUUAAUUCGUUUUCAGGGGUGUACGGAGCAUGUCUAGAAAAAGUUUUGGAUUUUUCGGAUGAGGAUUGGGUCAUGUUUGGAUUUCGAUUCUAGAAUCUCACCGUGAUAGUGGCAAGUCGCGAUGGUAAUAGUGAUGAUCCCUUCAUCACGUCGCGGUGUCCCAUUAAUCAGCAUUCCAGUUAUGAAUUUAAAUGUCUGAGGGGCAAUCAAGUCUUUUUCCAUCGACUCAAUUCGUAAAAACAUGAAUUUAAGCUUUAAUUAGGACAUUAUUGGCACAUAUUCUCUAAUUUUCUCUUAAAAAAAAACCUAAUCAUUCCCCCAAGUUCAAUUCCAUUUUUUUAUCUCCAAGAAAAUCAAGAACUCAAGUUUCCCAAUCCAAGAACUUUCAAGAAAGCUUUUAAGAUUGUGAUUCCCUUUCAAGCUUAAGGGUUUAAGGUAUGUGGGAUGUUCAUUCAUAUGACCUUUUCACCCAUAGAGUCUAAGAAUCUAUUUUUUAUGUUUCAAAUUAUGAAUUUACAUGUUUAUGAUGAACUAUCUCCAUGAAGCUUUAGUGAAUUAUGGUUAUAAAUUAUAUUUACAAGUGUUUUUCAUUGGAAUGAGCCCUUACACGUUUGAAUGAUGAUAUUUUCAUGUUAAAUCCCUAAUUCAUGGUUUUAGUAUUGUAACUAUGUUUUAAUUACAUGCUUUAUCCAUUUUCAUACUUAAGUUCACGACUCUUACGUGUUUGAUGAAAUGCCUAAGUGUUGAAUUUUGAACAAUGAUUCCCUAUUAUGGUUUCCAAGUUUUUAUAUGUCCAUGUUGCUAACUUUAUUCAACGUUGGAAAGUUAUGAAUACCCACUACAUAGCUGUUACCUAGUUUUAGUAUCUUCAGAAUGCUUUUAGACAGACCAUGAGCAUUAUCAUUCAGUUAGUUAUAAUAAUCAGUUGUUUGUUCAGUUAAGCUUAGUCAGUCCAGUAAUCAGUGUCAGUUCAGUUGGAAGUAGGAUUUAGCACCGAGCGAACCCAGGGAUGGGGGCUCAUCUGUCAGUAGAGGGUGUGACCUUUAGUAGUAGUCCCUAAGUUUCAGAACUACUUAGCCAGCGUUGGUUAGAGAUAUCAACCAGCCAAUUGAGAGUUAAUAAGGUGUUUCCCUGUCAGUUGAGGGUAAUACAUAUCUCAUUAGAGCACCUGCCAGUUAAGGGUGACUCAUUCAUCCUUCGGGACAUUAGUUUAGUGGACCCACACAACUAUUGUUAGUACUCGUGCCACGGUACUGAUACCCUUCCAAUUAGGGUCACAGGUUGGACCCCAAUUAGCUCAGAUUGGGGCAUAUCGAUUAGAUGAUACCUCCCACAGUCUCAGUUUAGUAUUCAGUGCAGAAUUCAGUUUCAGAUUUGCUUGACCAUAACAUACAGUUAUUCGUUAUUCAGUUACCAGAUUUCAGUAUUUUAGUGUACAAACUAUUUCAAAAAUAUGUUAUCAGUUCGGUUUCAUGCCAGGUCCCUCGACUACGGAGGCCAUUCACCUGGUGGGGAGAUUAGUAGAGCAGUUUCAAGAGAGGAAAAAGGACUUGCACAUGGUGUUUAAUGAUCUUGUGAAGGCAUAUGACAGAGUUCCCAGAAAGAUUUUGUGGAGGUGCUUGAAGGUUAGAGGGGUGCCCGUGGCGUACGCUAGGGCGAUUCAAGAUAUGUAUGAUAAUGUAAAGACUCGUGUGAGGAUGGUAGGAGGUGAUUCAGAUCACUUUCUAGCUUUGAUAAGUUUGCACCAAAGAUCGACUGUUAGCCCUUUUUUAUUUGCCUUGGUGAUGGAUGCGUUGACUCAGUAUAUUCAAGCUGAGGUGCCUUGGUGUAUGUUAUUUUCUGAUGAUGUGGUAUUGAUCGACGAUACUCCGGGAGGAAUUAAUGAUAAGUUAGAGAUUUGGAGACAGGUCCUUGAGUCUAAAAGAUUUCGAUUGAGCAGGACCGAGACGGAGUACUUGGAGUGUAAUUUUAGUGAUAUAUCGCAGGAGGCUGAUGUGGUUGUGCAGCUGGACUCUCAGGCCAUUCAAAGGAGAAAGAGUUUCAAGUGUCUGGGGUCUAUAAUUCAGGGCAAUGGCGAGAUUAACGAGGUUGUGACGUAUCAUAUUGGGGCAGAGUGGUUGAAAUGAAGGCUCGUUUUGAGAGUUUUAUGAGAUAAGAAGGUGCCCCCAAAUAUUAAGGGUAAGUUUUACAGAGUGGCAGUUCGAGCGGCUAUGCUGUAUGGAGCGGAGUGUUGGCUAGUUAAGAACUCCCACAUCUAGAAGUUUAAGGUGGUAGAGAUGAAGAUGUUUCGAUGGAUGUGUGGCCAUAAUAGAAAAGAUAGGGUGAGAAAUAAGAUUAUUCGGGAGAAGGUGGGUGUGGCUUUGGUGGAGAAAAAUAUGCAAGAAGUACGGCUACGUUGGUUUGGGCACGUGAUGAGAAGAGGCUCUGAUGCUCCAAUAUGGAGGUGUGAGUCAUUGGCUAUGGAUGAAUUUAGGCGGGGUAGAGGUAUACUGAAGAAAUAUUGAAGGAAGGUAAUUAGGCAUGAUAUGGAGCAGUUACAACUGAGAGAGGACAUGAUCCUUGAUAAGAAGGUGUGAAGGAUGAGGAUUAGGAUAGAGGGUUAGAGGGUGAGAUUUUUUCUUUAUUUGUGUUUGAAGUUUCUUGUUCGUGGCUGUUGAGUGAUGUCUAUGUUUUCGCCUAGAUAGGUUUUUCAGUAGUAUCUGGUGGCUGUUAUAUUACCUUGUGGAUACUAGUGUUAGUUUAUUUUGCAUAAUGUACUAGUCUAUAUGUAUUUAUGUUUUAUGAUUUGCUAUACUGUUAUCGAUCCUAAUCCGGAGGUCUAUCGGAAACAUCCUCUCUACUUCUUCGGAGUCUGCAUAUAUUAUACCCUCCCCAGACCCCACUAUGUGGGAAUACACUGGUUAUGUUGUUGUUAUAUGUUUGGUCAUGCAUUCUCAAACUUUACAACUUUCACGCAUUUAUAUUCAGUUAUCUCAUGCUAUUCAGUCAGUCUUUACUUCAUGCACAUAAACUCAUAUAUUUCAGUCUAACCUCAUCUAAUAUACUAGUACAUUCAAAGUACUGAUCGAAUACUCUUCUUUGCACUAUGAUGUUUAAUAUCAUAGGUUUGGACGCUCAGUUUCCCGACCGCGCUUAGAUAGUUCAGCUAGUCAGCAGCAGCAAUAGUGGUGAGUCCUCAUAUAAUGAGGAUCUGUUAUGUUUCUUUUAGUAUUUCCGC